Molecule: ribosomal RNA, 484 nt
Filed under: uncultured bacterium
Lineage: Bacteria
Description: partial 16S ribosomal RNA
Rfam family: Bacterial small subunit ribosomal RNA
Source: RNAcentral
AUUGAACGCUGGCGGCAGGCCUAACACAUGCAAGUCGAGCGGAUGAAGGGAGCUUGCUCCUGGAUUCAGCGGCGGACGGGUGAGUAAUGCCUAGGAAUCUGCCUGGUAGUGGGGGAUAACGUCUGGAAACGGGCGCUAAUACUGCAUACGUCCUGAGGGAGAAAGUGGGGGAUCUUCGGACCUCACGCUAUCAGAUGAGUCUAGGUCGGAUUAGCUAGUUGGUGGGGUAAAGGCCUACCAAGGCGACGAUCCGUAACUGGUCUGAGAGGAUGAUCAGUCACACGGGAACUGCGCCGCGGUCCAGACUCCUACGGGAGGCAGCAGUUGGGAAUAUUUGACAAUGGGCGAAAGCCUGAUCCAGCCAGGCCGCGUGUGUGAAGAAGGUCUUCGGAUCGUAAAGCAGUUUAAGUUGGGAGAAAGGGCAGUAAGUUAAUACCUUGCUGUUUUGACGUUAACAACAGAAUAAGCACCGGCUAACUUCGUG